This 64-nucleotide transfer RNA is filed under the name Gastroptychus investigatoris. Its description in RNAcentral is "tRNA-Lys". Lineage: Eukaryota; Metazoa; Arthropoda; Malacostraca; Decapoda; Chirostylidae. The record is from RNAcentral.
CACUUGAUGGCCGAAAAUAAGCGUAUGUCUUUUAAAUAUAUUAUAGUACUAUUACUUCAUGUGA